This 724-nucleotide ribosomal RNA is filed under the name uncultured Staphylococcus sp. RNAcentral describes it as "bacterial SSU rRNA". It matches the Rfam family "Bacterial small subunit ribosomal RNA", at positions 68 to 774 of the family's 1533-position model. The record is from RNAcentral. Lineage: Bacteria; Bacillati; Bacillota; Bacilli; Caryophanales; Staphylococcaceae.
GAACAGACGAGGAGCUUGCUCUUCUGACGUUAGCGGCGGACGGGUGAGUAACACGUGGGUAACCUACCUAUAAGACUGGGAUAACUCCGGGAAACCGGGGCUAAUACCGGAUAACACAUGAAACCGCAUGGUUUCAUGAUGAAAGACGGUUUUGCUGUCACUUAUAGAUGGACCCGCGGCGUAUUAGCUAGUUGGUAAGGUAACGGCUUACCAAGGCAACGAUACGUAGCCGACCUGAGAGGGUGAUCGGCCACACUGGAACUGAGACACGGUCCAGACUCCUACGGGAGGCAGCAGUAGGGAAUCUUCCGCAAUGGGCGAAAGCCUGACGGAGCAACGCCGCGUGAGUGAUGAAGGUCUUCGGAUCGUAAAACUCUGUUAUUAGGGAAGAACAAGGAUGUAAGUAACUGUGCAUCCCUUGACGGUACCUAAUCAGAAAGCCACGGCUAACUACGUGCCAGCAGCCGCGGUAAUACGUAGGUGGCAAGCGUUAUCCGGAAUUAUUGGGCGUAAAGCGCGCGUAGGCGGUUUUUUAAGUCUGAUGUGAAAGCCCACGGCUCAACCGUGGAGGGUCAUUGGAAACUGGAAAACUUGAGUGCAGAAGAGGAAAGUGGAAUUCCAUGUGUAGCGGUGAAAUGCGCAGAGAUAUGGAGGAACACCAGUGGCGAAGGCGACUUUCUGGUCUGUAACUGACGCUGAUGUGCGAAAGCGUGGGGAUCAAACA